CCUACGGGUGGCAGCAGUGGGGAAUAUUGGACAAUGGGGGGAACCCUGAACCAGCGACGCCGCGUGAGUGAAGAAGUAUUUCGGUAUGUAAAGCUCUAUCAGCCGGGAAGCAAAUGACGGUACCUGACUAAGAAGCCCCGGCUAACUACGUGCCAGCAGCCGCGGUAAUACGUAGGGGGCAAGCGUUAUCCGGAUUUACUGGGUGUAAAGGGGGCGUAGAGCGUGCAGCAGGUCCGAUGGGAAAGGUCGGGGCCCAACCCCGGGACUGCAUUGGAAACUGUUGAACUGGAGUACAGGAGAGGUAAGCGGAAUGCGUGGUGUAGCGGUGAAAUGCGUAGAUAUUAGGAGGAACACCAGUGGCGAAGGCGGCUUACUGGACUGUAACUGACGUUGAGGCUCGAAAGCGUGGGGAGCGAACAGGAUUAGAUACCCCAGUAGUC
This 440-nucleotide ribosomal RNA is filed under the name uncultured bacterium. RNAcentral describes it as "partial 16S ribosomal RNA". It matches the Rfam family "Bacterial small subunit ribosomal RNA", at positions 338 to 795 of the family's 1533-position model. The record is from RNAcentral.